RNAcentral lists this ribosomal RNA (267 nucleotides) under uncultured bacterium. Its description in RNAcentral is "partial 16S ribosomal RNA". It matches the Rfam family "Bacterial small subunit ribosomal RNA", at positions 793 to 1055 of the family's 1533-position model. The record is from RNAcentral.
GUCCACGCUGUAAACGAUGGAUGCUAGCCGUUGGCGAGCUUGCUCGUCAGUGGCGCAGCUAACGCUUUAAGCAUCCCGCCUGGGGAGUACGGUCGCAAGAUUAAAACUCAAAGGAAUUGACGGGGGCCCCGCACAAGCGGUGGAGCAUGUGGUUCAAUUCGAAGCAACGCGAAGAACCUUACCAACUUUUGACAUGUCCCGUAUGGGUUUCAGAGAUGAGAUCCUUCAGUUCGGCUGGCGGGAACACAGGUGCUGCAUGGCUGUCGU